AGUGUAGUUAUAGCUGCAUAUUUGACGUUAGCGACAGAAGAAGCACCGGCUAACUCCGUGCCAGCAGCCGCGGUAAUACGGAGGGUGCGAGCGUUAAUCGGAAUUACUGGGCGUAAAGCGCAUGCAGGUGGUUUGUUAAGUUCAGAUGUGAAAGACCCGGGGCGUCAACCUCGGAAUAGCAUUUGAAACUGGCAGACUAGAGUACUGUAGAGGGGGGUAGGAAGUUUCAGGUGUAGCGGUGAAAUGCGUAGAGAUCUGAAGGAAUACCGGUGGCGAAGGCGGCCCCCUCGGACAGAUACUGACACUCAGAUGCGAAAGCGUGGGGAGCAAACAGGAUUAGAUACCCCUGGUAG
Molecule: ribosomal RNA, 353 nt
Filed under: uncultured bacterium
Lineage: Bacteria
Description: bacterial SSU rRNA
Rfam family: Bacterial small subunit ribosomal RNA
Source: RNAcentral